AACCUUUCCUGGUUCAUAAGUAUGAUGAUUGAGUGUUUACAUGUUUCUGUUAUAUAUACCUUUCUUAAAUCUUAUUACGAGGUUGGCCCGUUGUCUGAUG
Sorex fumeus (smoky shrew) is the source of this 100-nucleotide small nucleolar RNA. RefSeq annotates it as small nucleolar RNA U13. Lineage: Eukaryota; Metazoa; Chordata; Mammalia; Eulipotyphla; Soricidae. The record is from RefSeq and is a predicted model, not a curated record. The transcript has a single exon.